UGGAAUUCUACAUAGAUAAAAUAAAACUAAAAUGAGAUAAUUUCUAUGAUUAAUUAAAAAAUUAUUAUAACUCGUAUUAAUAGAUUAUAUGAUUAUUAAAAAUUGAUUACAAUAUUAAAAAAUAAAAUGGUGUAGUGAAUUGCAUCUUAUAAAAGCCUCGGAAUCUCAUCCUGAUAGCAUCAUUCACCGUCAUCCUCUUGUUGUCAGGCGGUCUCAUCCUCAUGAGAGAGUUUCAAAUUUUAAUUUUGCUAUUGCUUGGCUGGAGAGGGAUAAAAAGUCUCUGAUAGCAGUCAUAGCUAGGAAUUAUCGAGCGAAAGUGAUUGAUGUAUUCCAUGAAAUUGGUAAACAAGCUUCUCGCUCUUCUCCUCUAUCAGGUGAAGCUUUGAGAAUCCUGAAAUCUCUGAUUUGAUUUGCCAUUUUUCGAAUAACUCGGACAUUGUCAUAUCCGCCACUUUCAGAUGCAAGGAAGAGCGUCUUCUGGGAAAUCAAAGCAUGUAUAGUAUAGACGCCAUUGAAGGUUUAGCUGAAGCCUUUUAUUCUUUUAUCGGUCACUACUGCCAUUCAAGAGAUCUGAUAACAAGCCAGCUGAUUGCUUAGCAAAAUUGAGUUUACACCAAAUUAUUUCGAGUAAUUGGUUUUUUGGUAAGCCUCUUGAGCUAUUGUCUACAUUAUCUCUAUGUUUUUUUUUUUUUCACAAAACGAAUUGAUGUGCUUAAAAGUCUAAUUAAUGCCGGCUAAAGCUUUGUCUAUCGGUCUCUCCUCCUGUUCGAAGCAAGUCCAUAAUGGUGGCCAGGUACGGCUAAAACGACAAAACUGCUUACGUAUUGCAUAGACAGUGGACCCACUUUUCAUGUAGCCCCAUCGACCCCUUGUACCAAAAUCAUUGCACUACCUUUGCUCGUAGUCGUAGAUAUUGCGUGCGUCCACGCAUCAUUUUUUAAUUAUAUAUUAAACUAAUUAAAAAUAAAGAAAAAUAAUAUGAAUAUUCACUUUAUUUUUAAGAAACUUACGAUUAUGUCUCUAAUUUUUUAAAAAAAUAUCACUAUUUUCAAAUUAAUCGAUUGAAAUAUUUAUAUAUUUUAUAUAUUUUAAAAUUUAUUGACCUAAUAAUAAAAAAGCUUAAAAAGUGAUAAAAUAGAUGUUAAGAAAUUAAAACUUAUUUUAUCACAUCCAUUUAUCCCC
RNAcentral lists this long non-coding RNA (1182 nucleotides) under Manihot esculenta (cassava). RNAcentral describes it as "long non-coding RNA (MESC_LNC008400)". Lineage: Eukaryota; Viridiplantae; Streptophyta; Magnoliopsida; Malpighiales; Euphorbiaceae. The record is from RNAcentral.